UUUACAAAUCUAGAGAUUAUACUGCAGAAAAAUUACUGUAUGCACAAUAAUAAUGACUGUCUGAGUAGUUAGUCAAAACAGCUUGUGUCUUACAUUAGCCAACGUAUAUCUCUAAAUUCAAAGUGGUAGCAAUUAUUAUAAUUAUUAUAAUUGGUGCUUUGUUUUAUAAGUACAAUUGUGCAUACCAUUCACUUGUAACAACACCGUGUUUACCCAAUAUAAAGGGAGUUCUGCUUUAAUAUCUUAUCUGAGAGUAAUCAACAUCAUCCCUGUUUUAAAUAGAGAAAAGAAAGUGGUUUCAUGGCAGUUACAUGAAGAGGAAGAAGUCAGCGCCAGGCACUGAAUUAAAUUACACAGUCGAACUAGUAGAACAAGCUGAAGCUAAAAACUGAUUGCAGGUAUCUGCAAAGUCUACAGGCAAACAUCUGGCUAUGUUUUUGUCCUUCAGGUAUAAUAGAUUUUGCUAAGAACAGCACCAUCAAAAAUCCCAUAAGAGCAAAUUGGCCUGGGAGAAAAUUAGAAGGAAAGACUGCACAAACCAUGCCAAACUCUGAUGACCUGUUGCUGCAUGACUGAAAAGUGUCUUGUGAGGGACUGCGUUUACCCUACGGUCAUUGACCUUUACUGAAUCACUUCACUAAUGUUUGAUGCAGAAUGAUCUUCAGCUGAUUGGGAUGCUGUAAGUAUAUCCUUUAACAUUUAUCAUCACGACUGAUUGAUUGACAAGCCUUACAUCAUGCACAGUUCUACUCCUUUCAGUAGUAAUCUCUAAAACUGUGGCUGUUGAAGAACUAUAUGAAAAAAUAUUAUACAGAAAAGCAUAUCAGGUGUAAAUAUUUGAAUAAACACAAAAUAAAAUAUUCUAGAGAGCUUCAACCAGAUGGCUGCGUGAGGACAGAAUGGCUGUUUUAUUCUUCUCCACAACAAGGGAAUAUUUACUUUGUCACAUCCUUUACAAUAAUUUACAUCCAGUAGCACAAGACACUUAAAAAUUUCAGACACUGCCGUCCACAUAGUAAUGCCAUUAGGAAUUGUUUUCAGGGAUCAGUAUACUCAAACCUUAUUGUUCACAUGUCACAGUGUGAGUGAAAGUUCUGACUAUAUAUAAAACAUAUGUUUUAUCAUCGAUUAAACACAGCUAUGCUGAUCAGGCCCUGGCAAUAACAGUUCAGGCUUCUGAGUGUUGUUGUUUGAUGUCUCAUGAGAGUAAAAUUUAGAAGACAACUUGAAACUUAGGAGCAUCCAUUUUGAUGACUGCAGAUCACUUGGAGAGAAACCAGAGAACAAUAUGAAUAUUCAAAGCUCUAGGAGAUGUGACCUAUCACAUCUGUGUUACUUAGAGAAGACAGACAUGAAUGAGUAAUGACAAUGGACUUCAAGUGCAGGAAAGGUAGCUGCAGUCAGAAAGAGGAUGAAGUGGUCUUCAUGAUUAACCAAUGUAGUACAAGAAGUAAUGAGAGGCUAUUUCAACAUGAAUUAGUUUAAAAAACUUUUGUAGUUGCAGAAAUAGGCAAGCAGUGGAACAGACUGUUGGGACAGAUUGUAGGAACCCUGUCAGUGGAAGACGUUAUGAACAAAAUAAGAAAACAUACAUUGCUAUCUAGGUUACUGGAGGUAAUCUUCCAGGAGAGAAGGGAGGGAACUGAUGUCAUGUUGCCUGUUUUUCCUUGGUUCUAUGGCAUAGUUCAGAUAUAUAUCAAGAGGCCAUAUGGCAGUCAGAGAAUUAUUGUCUAGCAGACUGCAGCAGGAACGGGAAAGGAGCAUGUCCUGCAUGAAACACCAACAGCAGUGCUCUCCACCCCUCCCAUCCUGUCCAUGGUUUACCAUGAAGAGGAAGAUAGUCAAGAAGACACUUGGAUUCUCCAAAUUCUCAAGGACUGUCUCAGAACAGCGAACCUUUUUAAAGAGAGUGGUUUCUGGCAACAACUGAUGGCUGAAGAGGUUACAAGGCAAAGGUUUGUUUGUUUGGUUUGUUUUGUUUUGUUUCCUCCAAAACUGAUACAUAUAACCAGCUUGUUACUCUUCUCAUGCAAGUAAGACAAAUCAUACUCCAGACUGAAAAAAAUCCCCUCAUACAAAACCUGUCCCUAUGGGUUUUUAGCAAAGUGGGGCAUGGGGGGAAUACCCUGAGGGUAUAGUAUUGAAUUGAUCACGUUUAGCUCUGUUGACUUUUUACAUUAAAUAGUAAUCCAUGUAAUUUGGGUAACUUAUUUAUUUAUUCAGUUAAUAAAUACUACUUGACUGUAAGCACUGGCCAGAACACAUUCAAAAUAACAACUGUAAGAAAUGAAUGGAUUUCUAAAUAUGGAACCUUAUUUUCCAUUAAUUUGUGGUAAAAUCUUGCAGCCUACAUCCAUAGAUAAUAUCUGCAAACUGUCUGCAUGAUGUCUCAGUCCUUCAGGAAAUUUCUUUAGAUGACAUCCCAGAGGUAAGGGGGAGAGUCUUCAACUGCAAACCCACCACUCCAAGGAAAACCAGCUCAAUGGGGUCCCUGGCAGGCUCUAUGUAUACCCUAGUUGAAUCCAAGUUUGUGGUCAUUUAUGGCAGCAGUCUAGAAACUUGUCUCAAGCAAGGCAUUUCAUUGACCAGGUGCCCUGUCUGUUGACCAAGGGGCAUGUACAUUGACCAUAGUGGCUUUUGGGGAGAAGGAUGUGUAGGUGUGCCUGCCACACUUAGUAUCUCCAAUGACAGAACUAUAUGUUCUCUUGUCUAGCAAUCUACUAAAUGGCUGUUGUUUUUUUGACUGUCACGGUGACAUUUGCUCUUCACUGCAAGUUAGGAAAAAUAUUCCAAGUCCUUUUGUUGUAGCUUGAUAAAAGUAAACUUUUCAGUUCUAUAAUUAGUGAUCAUCAUGUCACCUUGCAUGGGGAUAAACUGAUAUCUAGGUCCUCUUUUACAAAACAUUUCUGAAAAGCAGCAGUGAUUUUAUUUGAUAGAGAAACAAUGUUAUUAUAAACCUUCAGCAUAAAAGAGACAAGUUUAUUUGGAAAGAAAAGGACUGUAGUGGUGAUCUGCGUGCAAGAGAGUAGGGUGCUAAUCAGUACUGUAUCUAUCAUACUCCACAAUCAAUACACUGAAGUAAAAAAGAAAUAGAAAAAAGAAAAAGAGACCAGAAGGUUGGCUUACAACCAAGCUGUAUUAUAUUGGCUGCAGAACAGAGACAUGAAGCAGCUAUUGAAAAUAACAAGCCCAGCUGCUUCUCUCUUCAGGUAAAACAUGACAUCAUAGUUGAUGUUUAUCAACCACAUACAGUGUGAUGGGAAGUGUACAAAUGUUUCCGAGGCCUGACCAUUCCCACAUGCAUAGGAGCACUGAAGUCUUUUUAUGUGUGAGAAACACUCUAUAGGUCUGACACAAAUAAAGGAAAGAAAAAGGCUUUUAAUGUCCUGUUUGGAGCCUUGGUUAGUACUUACUUUUUGGUGAAAAGGCUUUGGUUACUGUCAAAAGAUAAAAAUAAAAAAACGAAGGUUUCUAUGGAAAUAUGCCAGUUUCCUUGAAACUUUCUCCAUGAAUCUGCACUUUUCAGCUGCAGUGUGACACUGGAGGAAAAGGAGCACGGCAGAGGAACAGGCAGCCUUCCCCUGACAGCUCAGGUGAGUUCUACAUUUCCAGCCUGGAUCACAGAGAUAAGUGAAUUGGAUGUAUGCCUCCCACCUUCCUCAGCCACUGAGCUAUUUAUCCACUGGAAAGAGGAUUUUUUUCUGCACCUGUUAUUUUGCUUUUAAAAACACAUGUUUAUAUUGGGUUUUGCCCCAGUUAGGCAGUGAUACAGGCUGAAGGUUUGCAAACAUUUGGAUGCCCAUCAAACAUUCUAGCCAGGCUCUUUUAUCCCAGAAUCAUGUUUCUGGGGUAGAAUUAAAACAGAAUCAGGGCAUGACACCAGUCACUACGAGCAUACAUAUUCAGAUACGCAUGCAUGAAGGGACACACUCUUGAGCAAAUUGAAUUUCUCUCCACAGUGUGAAACGGAAGAAUAUAUUCUUCUGUUUAUUUUUUUUUCCAGGAUUUGUGGAAAAAGCUUUUGGGAAAAGGACAAUUACAGACUUCAAAGCUAAAUAAAUAAAUUUGUAGAGUUUUAUUAAUUGGCUGUAUUUAUGGGGUCCAAAUUAUCUCUCUUUUCUUUAGUAUGGAUCAUUUUGCAUUUACUGCCUGAAACAAUCAGUGGCUAUUAGACAUUACUUAUCACUUCCUGUAAAUUUUGACAAGCUUCCUCUUUGGAAAACUGAAAAAAAAAAAAAAAAAAAAAGUUCAAUUGUUUAUUCUGGACUCCCCAGUCUGAAGAAAUAUGUUGUUACAAUACAUGAUUUGAACAAGGCUUUAGAAAUCAUUAGAAUUAGACUUCUAUGGGAAAAUUCAGGUUGUCUAAAUUGAGGUUUUAGUUACAUCAGUCUCAGAGGUUCAGCCAGCCUGUUUCCAAGUGGCAACAUUUCUGAAUGCACCUGAAAAGGCAGAAAGAGCUAAUGUGGAUCCCAAGUUCCAUCCAUGACCAAGCAGAGCUCAGAAGGAUUUAUUGUGAAAUGCUGACCUUGCCAGCUAAUGAUGGAUAGGAUGUCUGAACACCGAGACAUGCUGCAGCCAAAAGGUGAGCUGGCAAGACCCAAAUGAACAUCCAUUGUUUUGAAUCUCAGGUGGAAGUAUCACAGUAUGUUUGGGAUUGGAAGGGACCUCAAAAGAUCAUCUAGUCCAAUCCCCCUGCUGGAGCAGGAACGUCUAGAUGAGGUCACACAGGAACAUGUCCAGGCGGGUUUUGAAUGUCUCCAGAGAAGGAGACUCCACAACCUCCCUGGGCAGCCUGUUCCAAUGCUCUGUCACCCUCACUGAGAAGAAGUUUCUUCUCAAAUUUAAGCGGAACCUCUUGUGUUCCAGCUUGAUCCCAUUACCCCUUGUCCUAUCAUUGUUUGCCACCGAGAAGAGCCUGGCUCCAUCCUCAUGGCACUCACCCUUUAUAUAUUUAUAAACAUUGAUAAGGUCCCCCCUUAGUCUCCUCUUCUCCAAACUAAAGAGACCCAGCUCC
Molecule: long non-coding RNA, 5014 nt
Organism: Columba livia (rock pigeon)
Lineage: Eukaryota; Metazoa; Chordata; Aves; Columbiformes; Columbidae
Exons: 3
Source: RefSeq, a predicted model, not a curated record